UACGAAGGGGGCUAGCGUUGCUCGGAAUCACUGGGCGUAAAGCGCACGUAGGCGGAUCUUUAAGUCAGGGGUGAAAUCCCGGAGCUCAACUCCGGAACUGCCUUUGAUACUGGAGACCUUGAGUCCGGGAGAGGUGAGUGGAACUGCGAGUGUAGAGGUGAAAUUCGUAGAUAUUCGCAAGAACACCAGUGGCGAAGGCGGCUCACUGGCCCGGUACUGACGCUGAGGUGCGAAAGCGUGGGGAGCAAACAGG
RNAcentral lists this ribosomal RNA (253 nucleotides) under uncultured bacterium. Its description in RNAcentral is "partial 16S ribosomal RNA". It matches the Rfam family "Bacterial small subunit ribosomal RNA", at positions 524 to 776 of the family's 1533-position model. The record is from RNAcentral.